This 76-nucleotide transfer RNA is filed under the name Peyritschia erectifolia. RNAcentral describes it as "Calamagrostis erectifolia partial tRNA-Leu". It matches the Rfam family "tRNA", at positions 10 to 71 of the family's 71-position model. From Rfam's summary of the family: Transfer RNA (tRNA) molecules are approximately 80 nucleotides in length. Their secondary structure includes four short double-helical elements and three loops (D, anti-codon, and T loops). Further hydrogen bonds mediate the characteristic L-shaped molecular structure. tRNAs have two regions of fundamental functional importance: the anti-codon, which is responsible for specific mRNA codon recognition, and the 3' end, to which the tRNAs corresponding amino acid is attached (by aminoacyl-tRNA synthetases). tRNAs cope with the degeneracy of the genetic code in two manners: having more than one tRNA (with a specific anti-codon) for a particular amino acid; and 'wobble' base-pairing, i.e. permitting non-standard base-pairing at the 3rd anti-codon position. Lineage: Eukaryota; Viridiplantae; Streptophyta; Magnoliopsida; Poales; Poaceae. The record is from RNAcentral.
UCGAUAUCGGGUGACGCUACGGACUUAAAAUCCGUCGACUUUAUAAGUCGUGAGGGUUCAAGUCCCUCUAUCCCCA